RNAcentral lists this ribosomal RNA (265 nucleotides) under Clostridioides difficile. RNAcentral describes it as "partial 16S ribosomal RNA". It matches the Rfam family "Bacterial small subunit ribosomal RNA", at positions 920 to 1184 of the family's 1533-position model. Lineage: Bacteria; Bacillati; Bacillota; Clostridia; Peptostreptococcales; Peptostreptococcaceae. The record is from RNAcentral.
CCCGCACAAGUAGCGGAGCAUGUGGUUUAAUUCGAAGCAACGCGAAGAACCUUACCUAAGCUUGACAUCCCAAUGACAUCUCCUUAAUCGGAGAGUUCUCUUCGGGGACAUUGGUGACAGGUGGUGCAUGGUUGUCGUCAGCUCGUGUCGUGAGAUGUUGGGUUAAGUCCCGCAACGAGCGCAACCCUUGUCUUUAGUUGCCAUCAUUAAGUUGGGCACUCUAGAGAGACUGCCAGGGAUAACCUGGAGGAAGGUGGGGAUGACG